RNAcentral lists this ribosomal RNA (467 nucleotides) under uncultured bacterium. Its description in RNAcentral is "partial 16S ribosomal RNA". It matches the Rfam family "Bacterial small subunit ribosomal RNA", at positions 28 to 507 of the family's 1533-position model. The record is from RNAcentral.
GAUGAACGCUGGCGGCGUGCUUAACACAUGCAAGUCGAACGGAAAGGCUCCAGCUUGCUGGAGCGCUCGAGUGGCGAACGGGUGAGUAACACGUGUGCAAUCCGCCCUGCUCACUGGGAUAAGCCUGGGAAACUGGGUCUAAUACCGGAUAGGACCUUUCUACUCGCGGGGUUUGGUGGAAAGUUUCUCGGUGCAGGAUGCGUCCGCGGCCUACCUGCUUGCUGGUGGGGGAGUGGUCUACCAAGGCUGCGAAUGGUAGCCGACCUGAGAGGGUGAUCGGCCUCAUUGGGACUGAGGUACGGCCCAGACUCCUACGGGAGGCAGUAGGGGAGAGUAUUGCACAACGGGCGAGAGCCUGAGGCAGCGGCGCCCCGUGAGUGAUGACGGCCUACGAGUUGUAAACCUCUUUCUGUAGGGACGUACCGCAAGUGACGGUACCUGCACAAGAAGCACCGGCUAACUACGUG